ACCUUAGAACUGAUGGAAAUACUGGCGGGGUUGAAGAUUGGGGGGGAUUUUGGAACUUUUGGUGGAGCAGUGAAAUGCGUUGAUAUCAAAAGGAACACCGAUGGCGAAGGCAAAAAUCUAACCAAUCCUUGACGCUGAGGCACGAAAGCUUGGGGAGCGAAGCAGAUUAGAGACCUGCGUAGUCCAAGCUGUAAACUAUGCCUGCUUGAUUGUCGUCGCAAGACAACAGUCGUAAGCUAACGCGUUAAGCAGGCCGCCUGGGGAGUACGAACGCAAGUUUAAAACUUAAAGGAAUUGACGGGGAUCUGCACAAGCGGUGGAGCGUGUGGUUUAAUUCGAGACAAAACGAAGAACCUCACCAGGGUUUGACAUGAUAGAAGUAGACGGUGGAAACACCAACCAUCUGUUAAGUCAGAAACUACCAAAGCUGCUG
Molecule: ribosomal RNA, 433 nt
Filed under: uncultured bacterium
Lineage: Bacteria
Description: bacterial SSU rRNA
Rfam family: Bacterial small subunit ribosomal RNA
Source: RNAcentral